GCAGAACCCUGCUGAGUGAUGCUGUGCAGCAGCAGCUUCCUCCAGUCCGUUCUCCUCUUGUGGAUUUCAGCAGUGCUGCCUAAACUAAUAUAACAAGACUGACGUCACCUUUAACUCAGAGCGUUGAUGAAAUUAUUUUACUAAUAAUAAGCACAAGGAAUCAAAUCAUCAGUUCAUUGCAGUUACUCAAAGGCUUCCCCAGUGAAUGCCAGUCACCUAAACCAAGUCGUCUGCCUUUAUGAGCAGGAGGGGGCACCUAUCCUCAGUGCCACGGCAUCCGGACCCCCCGAAGAUACUUCAGGAGCGUGCAGACUACAGCUGAAUAUCACAGCUUUACAAACUGAAGCACACAACAGGAUAACAUGCCAUUGAAGGAGGUAAGC
Polypterus senegalus (gray bichir) is the source of this 383-nucleotide long non-coding RNA. RefSeq lists it as uncharacterized. NCBI's taxonomy places the organism in Eukaryota, Metazoa, Chordata, Cladistia, Polypteriformes, Polypteridae. The record is from RefSeq and is a predicted model, not a curated record. The transcript has 3 exons.